This is a small nucleolar RNA of Myotis lucifugus (little brown bat), 130 nucleotides long. Ensembl annotates it as small nucleolar RNA SNORA33. NCBI's taxonomy places the organism in Eukaryota, Metazoa, Chordata, Mammalia, Chiroptera, Vespertilionidae. The record is from Ensembl.
AAGCCAGCCCAUGAGUCUGCUCACCUGAAUGUGUUUCUGUAGGAAUUUAGAGAAAGCUGGCAAUAGAAAAGCCAUGUUAUGAGUCUUAAAGACACUGAAGUCAUUAAGGUCCCGGAAAAUAACUAUAAGA